RNAcentral lists this ribosomal RNA (253 nucleotides) under uncultured bacterium. RNAcentral's name for it is "partial 16S ribosomal RNA". It matches the Rfam family "Bacterial small subunit ribosomal RNA", at positions 524 to 776 of the family's 1533-position model. The record is from RNAcentral.
UACGUAGGUGGCAAGCGUUGUCCGGAAUUAUUGGGCGUAAAGCGCGCGCAGGCGGUCUUUUAAGUCUGAUGUGAAAGCCCACGGCUCAACCGUGGAGGGUCAUUGGAAACUGGGAGACUUGAGUGCAGGAGAGAAGAGUGGAAUUCCACGUGUAGCGGUGAAAUGCGUAGAGAUGUGGAGGAACACCAGUGGCGAAGGCGACUCUUUGGCCUGUAACUGACGCUGGGGCGCGAAAGCGUGGGGAGCAAACAGG